This 72-nucleotide transfer RNA is filed under the name Ictidomys tridecemlineatus (thirteen-lined ground squirrel). RNAcentral's name for it is "Spermophilus tridecemlineatus (thirteen-lined ground squirrel) tRNA". It matches the Rfam family "tRNA". Rfam says of the family: Transfer RNA (tRNA) molecules are approximately 80 nucleotides in length. Their secondary structure includes four short double-helical elements and three loops (D, anti-codon, and T loops). The record is from Rfam by way of RNAcentral. Lineage: Eukaryota; Metazoa; Chordata; Mammalia; Rodentia; Sciuridae.
GGGGAUGUGGCUCAAGUGGUAGCGCGCUCGCCUAGCAUGCGUGCGGCCUGGGUUCAAUCCUCAGCAGCACCA